AGAGCUUGCUCUUUGGAUUAGUGGCGAACGGGUGAGUAACACGUGAGCAAUCUGCCCUUGACUCUGGGAUAAGCGUUGGAAACGACGUCUAAUACCGGAUACGACCCUCGGAGGCAUCUCCUGGGGGUGGAAAGAAUUUUGGUCAAGGAUGAGCUCGCGGCCUAUCAGCUAGUUGGUGAGGUAAUGGCUCACCAAGGCGACGACGGGUAGCCGGCCUGAGAGGGUGACCGGCCACACUGGGACUGAGACACGGCCCAGACUCCUACGGGAGGCAGCAGUGGGGAAUAUUGCACAAUGGGCGAAAGCCUGAUGCAGCAACGCCGCGUGAGGGACGACGGCCUUCGGGUUGUAAACCUCUUUUAGUAGGGAAGAAGCGAAAGUGACGGUACCUGCAGAAAAAGCACCGGCUAACUACGUGCCAGCAGCCGCGGUAAUACGUAGGGUGCAAGCGUUGUCCGGAAUUAUUGGGCGUAAAGAGCUCGUAGGCGGUUUGUCGCGUCUGCUGUGAAAACUGGAGGCUCAACCUCCAGCCUGCAGUGGGUACGGGCAGACUAGAGUGCGGUAGGGGAGAUUGGAAUUCCUGGUGUAGCGGUGGAAUGCGCAGAUAUCAGGAGGAACACCGAUGGCGAAGGCAGAUCUCUGGGCCGUAACUGACGCUGAGGAGCGAAAGCAUGGGGAGCGAACAGGAUUAGAUACCCUGGUAGUCCAUGCCGUAAACGUUGGGAACUAGAUGUGGGGACCAUUCCACGGUCUCCGUGUCGCAGCUAACGCAUUAAGUUCCCCGCCUGGGGAGUACGGCCGCAAGGCUAAAACUCAAAGGAAUUGACGGGGGCCCGCACAAGCGGCGGAGCAUGCGGAUUAAUUCGAUGCAACGCGAAGAACCUUACCAAGGCUUGACAUAUACGAGAACGGGCCAGAAAUGGUCAACUCUUUGGACACUCGUAAACAGGUGGUGCAUGGUUGUCGUCAGCUCGUGUCGUGAGAUGUUGGGUUAAGUCCCGCAACGAGCGCAACCCUCGUCCUAUGUUGCCAGCACGUAAUGGUGGGAACUCAUGGGAUACUGCCGGGGUCAACUCGGAGGAAGGUGGGGAUGACGUCAAAUCAUCAUGCCCCUUAUGUCUUGGGCUUCACGCAUGCUACAAUGGCCGGUACAAAGGGCUGCAAUACCGCAAGGUGGAGCGAAUCCCAAAAAGCCGGUCUCAGUUCGGAUUGAGGUCUGCAACUCGACCUCAUGAAGUCGGAGUCGCUAGUAAUCGCAGAUCAGCAACGCUGCGGUGAAUACGUUCCCGGGCUG
Molecule: ribosomal RNA, 1294 nt
Filed under: Leifsonia sp. 4-8
Lineage: Bacteria; Bacillati; Actinomycetota; Actinomycetes; Micrococcales; Microbacteriaceae
Description: bacterial SSU rRNA
Rfam family: Bacterial small subunit ribosomal RNA
Source: RNAcentral